GGAAAAAUGGCUCAGUGGUAGAGCGCUUGCCUUGCAUGCAUGAGGCCCUACGUUUGAUUCCU
This 62-nucleotide transfer RNA is filed under the name Dipodomys ordii (Ord's kangaroo rat). It matches the Rfam family "tRNA", at positions 1 to 61 of the family's 71-position model. From Rfam's summary of the family: Transfer RNA (tRNA) molecules are approximately 80 nucleotides in length. Lineage: Eukaryota; Metazoa; Chordata; Mammalia; Rodentia; Heteromyidae. The record is from Rfam by way of RNAcentral.